CUUUGGGUAAAGAGAUAAAUUAUCAAAUUCAAACUCUCCAAAAUCGAUUUGCGUUGACGGCAGCUUCAUCCUCUCCUUGGACUGAGGAACUCUUGGGGCUUUAACAUCGUGUUUCUGGUGCGGUCCAGCUGUACUCGUUCCAAACAUUCUAAUAAGUCCCAUUUCACUUUCAAGUAUAUUUUUCAACCCAAAAGGCAUGCGGUUCUUCAAGUAUAGAGUGUCCAAAUUUUCAUAGUACCCUGGGUCCAGUCUACCAUUCUCCUUCCGAAUUAUUGCGUAUUUUGCAAGAAAAUCUGCUGCCGUGUUUGUUUGGUGCCAGAUAUAUCUAAAACCCCAACCUUUCUCGUCCAAUAUUGAUCUCGACAGAUAUAUGUGCUCCAUUGUUUCUGCAUCCACUUUAUAAUUCUGAUUUGUCAUCUUGAAAAUUUCAACAUUUAGAAUCAAGUUUCAGACAUAUUUUGCGUCAGUUGCAAUGAACACCUUUUCGUAGCCUUCAGCUAGGCGAAUGUCGAUUGCCCUUGUCACUCCCAAUGCUUCCAUUUUCAAAAUAUUAUUGUUUUUGGUCUGCAUCUAGACAAAUUCCACUAGUAGUGGUAGUCCACCAACAUCACGAACUAUCGCACCUAGUCCAACCAAAAUUUUCCCCGCUUCAUUGAAGCAUCCAUGUUGACGACAACAAUGCCUGAUUUUAUUGUAAGCAAGGGAUGAUCAGUAAUUCUUCCACAUCAAGAUCAACCUAUAUCCCCUUCCUCUUUUUGAUUGCAUCAGUGAUUGGCCUACUCCAAGCGGAUGAUCUAUUUGUGCGCGCAGCGACAUGUUUUGCCCAUGUAAUCAACAUCAGUGCAUGGCCUCUGCAUGUGUUUUGUUAGUGUUCCUGUUCCACAUGAUCGAUGCUCUUUCAGCUACCACUCGUACAUCUUGAAUAUUUGUAUUAUAUUGCCACUUUUUUUUUUUUUUUUUUUAAC
This is a long non-coding RNA of Alnus glutinosa, 965 nucleotides long. RefSeq lists it as uncharacterized. The transcript is spliced from 3 exons. The record is from RefSeq and is a predicted model, not a curated record. Lineage: Eukaryota; Viridiplantae; Streptophyta; Magnoliopsida; Fagales; Betulaceae.